CGUGUAGGCGGCCAGAUAGGUCUGCUGUGAAAACUCGAGGCUCAACCUCGAGCUGUCGGCAGAAACCAUCUGGCUAGAGUCCGGAAGAGGAGAGUGGAAUUCCCGGUGUAGCGGUGAAAUGCGCAGAUAUCGGGAAGAACACCUGUGGCGAAGGCGGCUCUCUGGGACGGUACUGACGCUGAGACGCGAAAGCGUGGGGAGCAAACA
This 207-nucleotide ribosomal RNA is filed under the name uncultured bacterium. RNAcentral describes it as "partial 16S ribosomal RNA". It matches the Rfam family "Bacterial small subunit ribosomal RNA", at positions 568 to 774 of the family's 1533-position model. The record is from RNAcentral.